UAUGAUGUGGCUCAGUGGUAGAGUGCUCACCUAGCAUGCAUGAAGCCCUGGGUUCAAUCCUCAGCACCACAU
RNAcentral lists this transfer RNA (72 nucleotides) under Marmota monax (woodchuck). It matches the Rfam family "tRNA". Rfam says of the family: Transfer RNA (tRNA) molecules are approximately 80 nucleotides in length. Their secondary structure includes four short double-helical elements and three loops (D, anti-codon, and T loops). Further hydrogen bonds mediate the characteristic L-shaped molecular structure. tRNAs have two regions of fundamental functional importance: the anti-codon, which is responsible for specific mRNA codon recognition, and the 3' end, to which the tRNAs corresponding amino acid is attached (by aminoacyl-tRNA synthetases). tRNAs cope with the degeneracy of the genetic code in two manners: having more than one tRNA (with a specific anti-codon) for a particular amino acid; and 'wobble' base-pairing, i.e. permitting non-standard base-pairing at the 3rd anti-codon position. The record is from Rfam by way of RNAcentral. Lineage: Eukaryota; Metazoa; Chordata; Mammalia; Rodentia; Sciuridae.